GCCAGCAUGAUAUAGUGGUUUAAGAGUUAGACUAUGAUUCUGGAGACCAGGGUUCAAUUCCCCGCUUGGCA
Molecule: non-coding RNA, 71 nt
Organism: Phrynosoma platyrhinos (Desert horned lizard)
Lineage: Eukaryota; Metazoa; Chordata; Lepidosauria; Squamata; Phrynosomatidae
Source: the annotation of a GenBank genome assembly